This 273-nucleotide long non-coding RNA is filed under the name Pogona vitticeps (central bearded dragon). RNAcentral's name for it is "lncRNA (ENSPVIG00000014507.1)". Lineage: Eukaryota; Metazoa; Chordata; Lepidosauria; Squamata; Agamidae. The record is from RNAcentral.
CUUUUCUCAUAUUUCUUGAUACUGCCCUCCUGCCCAACCAUUGGCUACUCAAUCAGUGUUCCAUUGUGAUGGACAGGUGUGGUUUCUGGCCUGUCUGUCACAAUGGCCAAUGACCAAAGCAUGGCAGGGGAUAAGGAGAGAGUGCCAGGCUUCCUCUCCUGUAUGUAAAAGCAAACAGCUUGGGAAAGGCUGCACAGCAAGGUGUGAACCAAGUGACAGACGCGGGUCAGAAAGGUAUGAGGUUGGGAGGGAAAAGCUAAUGUAACACAGCAG